GCUAGACGUUGUUGAAAACAGAGUCUCACUAGAUUGGCACUUACACUGGUAUGAUUUAAUUGUCUUCAGUGCAAUUACUGGGUAUCCUUAAGAGGUAUAUAUGCACUCUAUAGCAUUUUGUUACACACAAACCCAAUGUAUAUAUUGCAUGUAUAUAUUUCAGAAUCAGGUAUCAUAUUUAGCUUUUCUUGGGCGCUACAGUCAAGGUUGUGUUGCUAGUAUGAAGCCACACAAAUUUAUGGAAAAAGUCCAUGCAAGACGGCAACUUCUGACACAUUAGAAACAACUCAUAUUUGUUUAUCUUUUUGCCUGAGAGUGAUCAAAAUGAACUCCAUAUUGUUCUGUUGCCAAUAAACAUGAAAGAAUGAAAUAAUAUACAGGAAGGACAUCUUGAGAAGCAGGACCUUUCCCAAAAUAGAGAUCUUUCAUCAGGGCAGUUAGUGUUCCAGGUAGGAGGUUGAGGUGGCAGCUGAGGAUACGAAUUUGCAUUUAAAUAUGCAUAUGCAAAUUUAUUUGCACAGCUGCGACUUUAUAAGUAAUUAAUAUAAUUUAAACAGAAGUGCAGCAUUUCUCAGACUAGUGGAAAAACUGUAACAAGUUGAUCUGUUGGCUCAGUCUGUUGUCGUCAUGUGCUAAGCCAACUUUGGAUGGGCAACAUCAAAGCUUGCUUUUCCUUCUUAAGGUUCUGCAUCUUUAAACUGGACAGCCCUGCAUACAGAGGACUCCUUCAGAUGGAGAACUGGCUUCUGUAAAGUUGGACACAUGGCCACCCAGCUGAGGUAUUUCUAAGUAAUUCCUGACUAUCCAAGAGAGUGGUGCAAGGAUAUCCCAUAUUGUUUUGGAAUUCCGUAAACAGAAAGUGGGAUGCUGUCCUGAGACUGGGAAGAAGCAUAAGAACUAGUUAUUUUCUGGGGGUGAAACACUAGCAAUCACAUUUUGUUAUGUGUGGAAAGGGCAGACAGAUAGUGUCCAUGUCUUGUUAGGUGUUUCUGCAGUCUUACAAAAGGUCACUUUCCCAGCAUCCCUGUUUCUCACUGGCUGAGAAAUGCUUUCUCUAUUUAAAAAUACAGUCCUUCAUCUACUCAGUUGUUUAUUUCUGCUUCCUUGCAACCAAUAAUUAAUAGAUUAUUAGGCAAGAAGUAGUUUCCACUCUCAGUCUCUUUAGUUCAGUUUGAAAUAUUCUGGCAUGCUAAGUGAAUCCUAGUGAUCUGGCAAUGGGUCUGGGUUCUCCUUACUUCCUCUAAUAAGAUUGGUGAGCCAGGAAAAUAUGAUGCAUUUUCUUUCCUCCUGCUGGUCUUCAGAGAUUUCUCUCUCUUCCACUACAGUCAUUCAAAUAUUGCAUUUGUGUGCAUUUUUAAGAAUGAUCUGUACUGCUUAACUUCCUGCCUGACUAAAGGGUCCAUCACCUCCUCCCCACUUUAUGUGGCCAGAAGGUCAUGAAGAGGUUGUUGACUAACACACUUUCUUCCAUUAAUCCUCUUUAUUUCCAUUUGAAACCAUCUAAGUCCAUACUGGAUUUCUUUUAUUUUCAGUUGACUAGCUUUAUUUUGGACAUAUCUGUUUCCAUUUCCUUCUCUGACUUUUUUUUUUUUGAAUAUGCAAAAACAGAUGCCCCAAUAUUUUUAUUGAAACUAGAUCAGUAGCAUGAAAACAUUAUACAAAAGGCAACUUUUUACAAAAUAGUAGGUUUUCUCAUUCAGGGUGUGUAUGUUUAAUUAACGGGGGAAAGGCAAUUUCCCAAAGUUACAUAGUAUACCUAAAAAAAAACAAGGCCAAUAUGGCGUAGUGGUAAGAAUGUUGGCGAGACCAUCUCUACCAUUAAGCAGCUGAUUUUGGGUGUCACCAAAGUUAAGCAAACGGUCAGUUAUUUAAUUCAUUACCAUUGCAUUUUUACUGCCAAGGAUAGGCGGAGGAGCUAGAGAGACUUGCUAUUGUGCCUCAGGCAGCAAAAUAUCUUGGGUUAGCCCUGAAUGUUGGAUCAGAGAAACAUGGGUUGAAAUUCCCACUCAACCAUGAAUCUUACACAGUGUUCCAAGCCCAGUUACUACCUUUCAGCAAAUACCACAUCCGAGAGAGAGAGAGAGAGAGAGAGGGAAAGAAUAAAAUGGGAUAACCACGUGAAUGCCAUGGUGAGCUCAUUGGAUGGAGGGUGAGAUAAUAAUAUGAUUAUCCUUGAAAAUACACUGCAAUAUGUUACAGUGUUUGUGUCCCAUUAAACAAAUGCUUCUGUUCAAUGCUCCAGCCAGCCUGAAACAGGAAUCCUGUAUUCAAACCUCUCAGGGUGGAGGAGACAAGAAGAAGGUGAGAAAGAAGAUUUCCUCCGUCCCUCCCUCCCCUGGUACCUUCCUCUACUGCGACAGAGGCCUUGGGCCUGAGAUUGACUGCCGGGCUGCCAAAAUCUUAGCAAUUUAUUACUAUGGAAGGUUGGUGGUGGUGGUUCUACAUAAAUGGAAAGGGGAAAGGGGUGCUUUUUCCUUUCCUUCCUCCUGAAUGGUGCAGGGAAAGGAGUUUGUUAACCUCACAACAUGAAUUCAUCCUCCCACCCCUAAUGAGCCCCAUCCAGGAUGCUUAUUAUGGGCUGCUAGUGGCUUUAGUAAGCCAAUUUGCUCUCUUGGCCUGCCUUUCAUUCUUGCCUCCUUUUCUCUUUCUCAACGGAUACCCUAACACAUAACACACACACCCCAACAUUCCUGGGACCAAAGUCAGGAUGCUCCUAUUUUGGUCCUGAACUCUUGCACUUGCGUAAGAGCACAAGACCCAAAGACGCUUUUUUCUUGGUCUCGCAAGACCAAAAACCGAGCAGCUUUUGUUCUGGUGUGACCCAGAUGACUCAUGCCAGAGUGAGCAUCUUUUGGGCCGGCGUCUCGUGCCAGAACACAGAACCAAAACAGAACAUUCUAGGAUCCAAUCAGAAGCCAGGAUUGCCAUCUGUGAUUCCAGGAUGCCCUGCUUAAAACGGAGCAGUUGAGGAGUAUGCUAACAUUCUCUGUUUCAACUGCUGUCAACCAUAGACAUAUGCUAAUCUCACAGAAUCGGCCCAACUUCUGGUUCCCUUAAAUUGCUUUUUUUUUCCCUUUCCAGGACAGAAAUUAAAACCAUCCAUGUGAAAUAAUAUCAGAAUCUGGGGUUUUAAAACAGCUGUGAUUGGACAGCAGCAGUCCCACCAACAAAGCAAGAAGCAAGAACAGGAGUUGUUGUUUUUGUCAAUGGUCGGGGUGAGGCAGGACAUUCUCUCUCCAGACAAUGGUGUGAGUUACUUUAACAUUUCCUGAACAUGUUAGAGACUCAACAGUCAUGAACGUUCUGUAAAACCUUGAAGCUCAUAGAUCCUUAAAAAAAAAAAAAUCUAUAGUUUUAUUAUAGAUACAUGUAAAGAUGAACAUUUAAUGCUAUGGAGGGGAGGGGAAUUGGACCAAAUGCACAAUGAAAUCAAACAAAACAACAAACAAACAAAGAUACCCCAUCAUCCCCGAUCAUUGGUCAUGUGUGGAAUGAUGGGAGUUGUAGUCCUACAAUAUCUGGAAAGUGCCUCAUUGACUACCCCUGACCAAGGGCAUAGGGGUAUAGCUGAAAAGGGGGUGGGGGUAGGUAGUGGG
Non-coding RNA from Podarcis lilfordi (Lilford's wall lizard), 3596 nucleotides. The record is from the annotation of a GenBank genome assembly. NCBI's taxonomy places the organism in Eukaryota, Metazoa, Chordata, Lepidosauria, Squamata, Lacertidae.